UACGUAGGGGGCAAGCGUUGUCCGGAUUUAUUGGGCGUAAAGAGCGUGUAGGCGGCUUUGCAAGUCCGUUGUGAAAACUCGAGCUCAACCUCGAGACGCCGGUGGAAACUGCAAAGCUAGAGUCCGGAAGAGGAGAGUGGAAUUCCGUGGUGUAGCGGUGAAAUGCGCAGAUAAUCAGGAAGAACACCCGUGGCGAAGGCGGCUCCUCUGGGACGGUA
This 218-nucleotide ribosomal RNA is filed under the name uncultured bacterium. RNAcentral's name for it is "partial 16S ribosomal RNA". It matches the Rfam family "Bacterial small subunit ribosomal RNA", at positions 524 to 739 of the family's 1533-position model. The record is from RNAcentral.